Dasypus novemcinctus (nine-banded armadillo) is the source of this 2684-nucleotide long non-coding RNA. NCBI's taxonomy places the organism in Eukaryota, Metazoa, Chordata, Mammalia, Cingulata, Dasypodidae. The record is from Ensembl.
CGCUCCCGUGGGCCGGGUAGUGACCGGUGACUCGCUCGCCUCCUCUCGCCGCCCCACCCUCUCACCCUCGCUCUCUGGACGAGCUUCUCCAGGGCCUACGUUCUGCUCAUUUUUUAAUCCUCCUUCUCUAGAGCCUGCCCCAGGGACAUUCUCGCGUGGUUCCAAGGGUGCCAAGGGGUGGACUUCCCUUUGUGCCCUUAAAAAAAGUGGCUUAAACCGAUUCUGCCUCUCCCUUCACUCAUUAUUCUUUUAUUUUCUUUUUUUCCAGCAUUUUAUUAUGAAGAGUUUCAAACAUACAGGAAGGUUGAAAGAAUUGCACGUGAGCACCCAUAUAUCUGCCCCCUAGGAGCCACGAUUUGCACAUGGCGACACUUGCUUUGUCACUCUCUCCCCACCCCUCUCCCCACCCACCCAUCUUCCUUCCUCCCUCCGGAGAUGGCUCCCACAUUUCUCUGUUGUCUGCUUGCUAUUUGCUCAUUGUAUCUGCUCAUUGUCUCUACUUGCCGUGUCUGCUCAAUGUCUCCACUCGUUGUAUCUGCUCAUCUCCGCUUCUAGUCUACUUGUUCUGUCCAUUCAUUGUCUGCUUGUCUUCUUCAGGAAGCACUGGAAACUGAACCUAGGACCUCCCGUGUGGGAGGCAGGUACCCAACUGCUUGAGCCACUGUUCCCCUCCAUCUCACCUUCUGAUGCGUUUCAAAGUCAGUUGUGGACCUCAUUCUGCUGCCUCCCACACCCACACCUGCAACUGGCUCGUCACUAACUGGACUUUCUUUCUUGGGAGGAAGAGACAAAAUUAAACACUCUGAGAAAGGCCGUGGUCGCUGGUGAACGUGGAGGUGACACACACCUGGGCCCCCACCCCCCAUCUCAUGAGAGAAUGGCCCCCGCCCAGGGCGUCCCGCCAAGCCCCUUCCUGGGCCAUCCCCGUGCCCACGCUUGCUCCGUUCUUCCCCAUUAGAUUAGCUUAGCCUGAAACUUCACACACACGGAAUCCUGCAGGACGUGUUUGGAGCAGGCUCCCAAAUCCCGCGGGUCACAGCUGGCUCGUAUGUAGUGCCGCUGCCUGAACGUCCUGCUGAGGCGCGUGGAGCUCCUGCAGGUGGGGUCCACUGGGAACACCCGCUCUCCACGUGCUCUCACGGGGCUCACUCGCUCUCCUGCAGGCUCCUCAGAGGGCGUCGUGAGGGGCCACGUGGACGACCCCGGUUCCGGCUCCGCACCGAGGCCGGGGCAGGAGGAAGUCUGCCUCGCCCGCCGCCCGCGCAGGAAGCCCUUCAGAGGCGGCUGUGCAGCCCGAGCCGGACCACCGUGAUCCAGGGGCUGCGGCAGGCCAGGGGGCCACGCCAGGACGCCCUGAUGCGGGAAGCGGGCCCAGGAGGGGGGCCGCCUGGAGCUGGAUGCGGGCCCCCCCGGGCGGCUGCUCAAGGCGGCCCCGGGCACUGCACCCCUUCAGUUCUGCCCCCGUGCCCUCGCCAGGGCCCCUCGCCCACUCCGUCUUCACAGCCCCCCGCUCCCCGCCGUGGCGCCCUUGCAGCCUCGUCCCGGGCCCAGGAGCUACAGUGGGUGAAGAGUAAAUUCACCCGGGAGAGGAAAGGAGGACUGAGCGGCGGGACGGGGCAGGAUCCUGUUUCUUCACCAACCUGGACACAGAACAAGUACAAAUCGGGGACAUGGAGUGACGGCACAUUGUUUACAAUUCUAAAUAUUCCAUCACCCUGACUCCUAAAAAUAGCCCAGCGCGGGCGGAUGGCGCUCGGCUCGGGGAAAAGUCCCUGUUUCCCUGGAGGAGGAGGGCGCACAGCCAGGCCGCGGGGGUCCCCGCCCGCUGGAGGACACUGCGUCCAGGGGCGCCCCUCUGGCUGACCCUCCGUGCCUGUGGAGGUGACGACAACUGCCAGGACGCCUCCAUCUGCACCGCCCCGCGCAGGCGCCCCUGCGGCCACAGGGUCCUUCCCCUCCCCUGCGCUAACUUGGCUCCAGGGCAGCCCCCCGUGACCUCUCCAGUCACCUUCAGGUCUGACCCCCACCUUAACCCUUUCAGGGUCUCUGCGCAGCAAGGUCCUGGCCCCCCCCCCACGUGGGCUCUGAGUUGAAGCCCCCCCUGCUCCGGCCGGGCCCCGCUUUCAGGAAGCCCCGCUUGGCUCUCCUUCCUCUGCCACCCGCCCCACUCCAUCCUCACCUGCAGCCCCCCCCCAGGGCCCCCAGAGGAGGCAGCGGCGCGGGGCUCAGCGACCGAGGGGGGCCGUGCUCACUGCACCCCGCUGCUCCUGCGGGCUCUUGGCGAGCCCCCGCCGGCCUGGCCCUGUGUCCCCACUGCCCGCUCGGACAGAUGCCUCCAGCCUCCUGCUCGCCCGCCUUCCAGCAGACCCCCGGCCCGUCUCCAUCACCAGGGUCCCAGGAAACGGGGCCUCGGGCGUGCUGGCGCCCGCACGGCAGGCGGCGCUCCCCUCUAGGCUCUGGCAGGGCCAGGACACCAGGAGGCUGGCGAAAGGCCCUGGCGCCCCAGGCACGUCGGGCCCUCUCCAGGCGGGUGGCCCCGCGCUCAGAACGAGAGCCAGCGUCCCUGCUCGGGUGCCGCCACGGUGAAAGGCGGGGGCACAACCCGGCACGCCGGCCUGGCCGCGCCUCCGUGGCCCGCUCGCGACACGCCAGCCAAGUCCGUGCCCUGAGGUUUCUGGUGCGUA